Molecule: ribosomal RNA, 479 nt
Filed under: uncultured bacterium
Lineage: Bacteria
Description: partial 16S ribosomal RNA
Rfam family: Bacterial small subunit ribosomal RNA
Source: RNAcentral
GAUGAACGCUAGCGGGAGGCCUAACACAUGCAAGCCGAGCGGUAUUUGUUCUUCGGAACAGAGAGAGCGGCGCACGGGUGCGGAACACGUGUGCAACCUGCCUUUAUCUGGGGGAUAGCCUUUCGAAAGGAAGAUUAAUACCCCAUAAUAUAUUGAGUGGCAUCACUUGAUAUUGAAAACUCCGGUGGAUAGAGAUGGGCACGCGCAAGAUUAGAUAGUUGGUGAGGUAACGGCUCACCAAGUCAAUGAUCUUUAGGGGGCCUGAGAGGGUGAUCCCCCACACUGGUACUGAGACACGGACCAGACUCCUACGGGAGGCAGCAGUGAGGAAUAUUGGACAAUGGGUUAGCGCCUGAUCCAGCCAUCCCGCGUGAAGGACGACGGCCCUAUGGGUUGUAAACUUCUUUUGUAUAGGGAUAAACCUACUCUCGCGAGAGUAGCUGAAGGUACUAUACGAAUAAGCACCGGCUAACUCCGUG